GACGAACGCUGGCGGCGUGCCUAAUACAUGCAAGUCGAACGAACUCUGGUAUUGAUUGGUGCUUGCAUCAUGAUUUACAUUUGAGUGAGUGGCGAACUGGUGAGUAACACGUGGGAAACCUGCCCAGAAGCGGGGGAUAACACCUGGAAACAGAUGCUAAUACCGCAUAACAACUUGGACCGCAUGGUCCGAGUUUGAAAGAUGGCUUCGGCUAUCACUUUUGGAUGGUCCCGCGGCGUAUUAGCUAGAUGGUGAGGUAACGGCUCACCAUGGCAAUGAUACGUAGCCGACCUGAGAGGGUAAUCGGCCACAUUGGGACUGAGACACGGCCCAAACUCCUACGGGAGGCAGCAGUAGGGAAUCUUCCACAAUGGACGAAAGUCUGAUGGAGCAACGCCGCGUGAGUGAAGAAGGGUUUCGGCUCGUAAAACUCUGUUGUUAAAGAAGAACAUAUCUGAGAGUAACUGUUCAGGUAUUGACGGUAUUUAACCAGAAAGCCACGGCUAACUACGUGCCAGCAGCCGCGGUAAUACGUAGGUGGCAAGCGUUGUCCGGAUUUAUUGGGCGUAAAGCGAGCGCAGGCGGUUUUUUAAGUCUGAUGUGAAAGCCUUCGGCUCAACCGAAGAAGUGCAUCGGAAACUGGGAAACUUGAGUGCAGAAGAGGACAGUGGAACUCCAUGUGUAGCGGUGAAAUGCGUAGAUAUAUGGAAGAACACCAGUGGCGAAGGCGGCUGUCUGGUCUGUAACUGACGCUGAGGCUCGAAAGUAUGGGUAGCAAACAGGAUUAGAUACCCUGGUAGUCCAUACCGUAAACGAUGAAUGCUAAGUGUUGGAGGGUUUCCGCCCUUCAGUGCUGCAGCUAACGCAUUAAGCAUUCCGCCUGGGGAGUACGGCCGCAAGGCUGAAACUCAAAGGAAUUGACGGGGGCCCGCACAAGCGGUGGAGCAUGUGGUUUAAUUCGAAGCUACGCGAAGAACCUUACCAGGUCUUGACAUACUAUGCAAAUCUAAGAGAUUAGACGUUCCCUUCGGGGACAUGGAUACAGGUGGUGCAUGGUUGUCGUCAGCUCGUGUCGUGAGAUGUUGGGUUAAGUCCCGCAACGAGCGCAACCCUUAUUAUCAGUUGCCAGCAUUAAGUUGGGCACUUUGGUGAGACUGCCGGUGACAAACCGGAGGAAGGUGGGGAUGACGUCAAAUCAUCAUGCCCCUUAUGACCUGGGCUACACACGUGCUACAAUGGAUGGUACAACGAGUUGCGAACUCGCGAGAGUAAGCUAAUCUCUUAAAGCCAUUCUCAGUUCGGAUUGUAGGCUGCAACUCGCCUACAUGAAGUCGGAAUCGCUAGUAAUCGCGGAUCAGCAUGCCGCGGUGAAUACGUUCCCGGGCCUUGUACACACCGCCCGUCACACCAUGAGAGUUUGUAACACCCAAAGUCGGUGGGGUAACCUUUUAGGAACCAGCCGCCUAAGGUGGGACAGAUGAUUAGGGUG
Molecule: ribosomal RNA, 1489 nt
Filed under: Lactiplantibacillus plantarum
Lineage: Bacteria; Bacillati; Bacillota; Bacilli; Lactobacillales; Lactobacillaceae
Description: bacterial SSU rRNA
Rfam family: Bacterial small subunit ribosomal RNA
Source: RNAcentral